Molecule: ribosomal RNA, 1278 nt
Filed under: metagenome
Description: bacterial LSU rRNA
Rfam family: Bacterial large subunit ribosomal RNA
Source: RNAcentral
ACCCGUUAAGGCAUGAUUACCUGUACCCGAAACCGACACAGGUGGGGUGGUAGAGAAUACCGAGGGGCGCGAGGUAACUCUCUCUAAGGAACUCGGCAAAAUGACCCCGUAACUUCGGGAGAAGGGGUGCCAGCGCGAGCUGGUCGCAGUGAAUAGGCCCAGGCGACUGUUUACCAAAAACACAGGUCUCCGCUAAGUCGCAAGACGAUGUAUGGGGGCUGACGCCUGCCCAGUGCCGGAAGGUUAAAGAAGUUGGUCAGCGCAAGCGAAGCUAACGACUGAAGCCCCGGUGAACGGCGGCCGUAACUAUAACGGUCCUAAGGUAGCGAAAUUCCUUGUCGGGUAAGUUCCGACCCGCACGAAAGGCGUAACGAUCUGGGCGCCGUCUCGGAGAGAGGCUCGGCGAAAUAGAAUUGUCUGUGGAGAUGCGGACUACGUGCACCCGGACAGAAAGACCCUAUGAAGCUUUACUGUAGCUUGGUAUUGUGCUCGGGCUCGCAAUGCGCAGGAUAGGUGGGAGGCUUUGAUCCAUUGCUUGUGGGUGAUGGUGAGCCACUGGUGAGAUACCACUCUUUGCGAGCUAGGGUUCUAACGGUUACCCGUCAUCCGGGAACCGGACAGUAUCUGGUGGGCAGUUUGACUGGGGCGGUCGCCUCCUAAAAGGUAACGGAGGCGCGCAAAGGUUUGCUCAGGCUGGUUGGAAAUCAGCCGACGAGUGUAAAAGCAGAAGCAAGCUUGACUGUGAGACCUACAAGUCGAACAGGGAGGAAACUCGGCUUUAGUGAUCCGACGGUUCUGAGUGGAAGGGCCGUCGCUCAACGGAUAAAAGUUACUCUAAGGAUAACAGGCUGAUCUCCCCCAAGAGUUCACAUCGACGGGGAGGUUUGGCACCUUGAUGUCGGCUCAUCGCAACCUGGGGCUGAAGUCGGUCCCAAGGGUUGGGCUGUUCGCCCAUUAAAGCGGUACGCGAGCUGGGUUCAGAACGUCGUGAGACAGUUCGGUCCAUAUCCGGUGCAUGCGCAGGAAUAUUGAGAGGAUUUCUCCCUAGUACGAGAGGACCGGGAGGAACGCACCUCUGGUGUACCAGUUAUCGUGCCAACGGUAAACGCUGGGUAGCCAUGUGCGGAGUGGAUAACCGCUGAAAGCAUCUAAGUGGGAAGCCCACCUCAAGAUGAGUAUUCCCAUGGCUUAAGCCAGUAAGGUCACGGGAAGAACACCCGUUGAUAGGCUCUAUGUGGAAGCGCAGUAAUGCGUGAAGCAGAGGAGUACUAAUAGACC